Accipiter nisus (Eurasian sparrowhawk) is the source of this 2035-nucleotide long non-coding RNA. The record is from Ensembl. Lineage: Eukaryota; Metazoa; Chordata; Aves; Accipitriformes; Accipitridae.
CUUUCUCACAGCACCCUUCAGCAAAAUAGAUAUCGUGGAGUAGGAAACUGCACGAGUAUGUAAAAGAAAGGAAUUCAGCUUCCAGUACUUUUUUUUUUUAAGUCUAACUUUACGAGGUAGAAGGGUUUCAAAAUACGUGCUUAAUUUAUAUUACACAAACUUGCAAGUUGCAAUGGUUUUCUAUUAACAAAAGAAAAUUAAAUUGUAACUCCUAUACUUAGUGGUUAACACCUGAAAUUAAGUUAGACUGAGUUCUAAACACUGUGCUUUUUUUAACCAGCUUGCAGAGUGUGACCACAGUUACAAACCACAAACCCAAAACCAGCUCAGAAGAAAGUGAAGUAGUUAGUGUUCAGGAGCAAGAAGGGAUUAUGUCUUCAUUUGAAUUAGCAGCACAGUCUUCAAAAGCAAAUCAGGCAACAGCAGUGAAAAGUUUGCCUUCUUCACCAGAAUCGUCAUUGUCACCAGCUCCAUCUACACAGACACAGCUCACAGAAGGAUCACAUUUCAUGUGUGUAUAGUUACAGAGAAGUACGUCUUUUCUUUUUUUUUCCACUCCUCCUGCCAUUUUCCUAAUAUUUUUCUAAGUAUAUGUAUUCUAGUUAUUUUUCCAAGAAACAUCUGUAGACCAUACUUGGCAAGACAAAGUUAUCUAACAAUGCUGAAUAUAAACUAGAAAACAAAACGCAUACCUGUAUGUAUUUGCUUGCAAGUAAUAUAUUCUCUAAGUACUAAGAGAAAAGACUAAUUGGCUUAUCAAGCACGUUCUCCACAACUGUCAAGAUAAUAGCCUUUUGAACUACAUGAGAGACCUAAGAUAUUACAAAACAGAUACCCAGUUAAGCUAUGAGUAUCAGUGAUCAGGUGCAAAUGAAUCUUGAUGCUUCAGUUGUGGUAAUAGGCAACUAGAGCUAGAUGUCUUAGUGAUUCGUAGGAGGGAAUGGUCUAAUGGCCCAAAGAGUUUAUAGCUUAAGACAUAGAUGACUGAGGCAUGAGAAACAGGAAGGGAAAAAAUGAGGGUAGAAGAAAUAUAACAAUUACAAAACAUUUUUUUUCUUUCUAUAGAGAUAGCCCUAUACAACUUUUCUUCCCUUGUCGUAGUAGGUGAUUUCUUCUAGGAAACAAGUUAAAAAGCAUGAGUUAGGCUAGAUUUACAUGUUUAUACUUGUAGUGUUACCUACUUAAUGAAUAGAAAUGGAAAUGGAAGUAAGCAUAUUUGCUUAUAAAAGUGUUUAAAGAAAUUAAUAGGAUACCAAUGUGAAUGCUUCAGCACUUUACCAGCAUUUAAAUCAAUCCACGUUUCUUUGUUGUCAGGAAGUACCUAUUUAAAUAAGCUUUCUAAUAAAAGAAUGAACUUUGUUUCAAUGGUAAUGUUAAAUGCCAUAGCUAAUGUAACUUAAGAAGACUUUAAAAUCAAGUAAACUUUAAAAUUGAGACAUUUUCAGUCAUUUAGCAUGAGGAGAACUGAAAAUGCAUUUUUUCAUUUACUGUCCCAAUCUGCAUUGGCAAGCUUUCAUCUUGGCAAAAUUAGACUUAUUAUUCAUCACAGAUAGCUUUCUUGUAUGAACUAUAGGCAGGAAACUACUCAUAUUCUAAAAAAAAAAAGAAAGGGGGGGGAAUUAUUUUUAUCUUUUUCUCCUUUUGAGAGUAGAAAAUGCACUCUUCACAUUCAACGCUGACACCUGUGUUGCUGGCUUCCUGAUGGAUGUGGUCUGUCAGGAUUAGAUUUAGCUUGGACUUUUGUACUUUUAUUCAAAAGCUUUAUUACAGAACUUAAAAAAGAUAAAUGGGACUAUUGAGUUUUUCUGGAAAUACUGAUUUGUGUUAAUACUUUUCAGUUUCACUGUAUAAAUACACGUGCAUUUAUCAUGCAUCUCCUUUUCAAAUAGGACAAACAUUACCCCAUCAACUCAGUUUCAGGUCAGUAGUGAAACUGAAACUGCACUGCUGAAUUCUGUCCAUAGCCACGGUGUGCCUGUCUUGAAAGGAGAAGCCGCCUAUAACUUCACCAGGAAUCUAUUACCAAUUGCAUUAA